CAACUUUCAACAACGGAUCUCUUGGUUCUGGCAUCGAUGAAGAACGCAGCGAAAUGCGAUAAGUAGUGUGAAUUGCAGAAUUCAGUGAAUCAUCGAAUCUUUGAACGCACAUUGCGCCCUUUGGUAUUCCAAAGGGCAUGCCUGUUCGAGCGUCAUC
This 157-nucleotide ribosomal RNA is filed under the name Alternaria brassicicola. Its description in RNAcentral is "5.8S ribosomal RNA". It matches the Rfam family "5.8S ribosomal RNA". Rfam says of the family: 5.8S ribosomal RNA (5.8S rRNA) is a component of the large subunit of the eukaryotic ribosome. It is transcribed by RNA polymerase I as part of the 45S precursor that also contains 18S and 28S rRNA. Lineage: Eukaryota; Fungi; Ascomycota; Dothideomycetes; Pleosporales; Pleosporaceae. The record is from RNAcentral.